AAUUUAUAAAGAAGAGGCGAGAGAAUAGGCUCCGUGACCCUCUGGCAACCACUUAUAAAGGAAGGUGCCAAAUCCUAUCCCGGCAAAGCGGGAACAUAUAAAUU
This 104-nucleotide non-coding RNA is filed under the name Pontibacter ummariensis. Its description in RNAcentral is "SAM-I sequence". It matches the Rfam family "SAM riboswitch aptamer (S box leader)". From Rfam's summary of the family: The SAM riboswitch is found upstream of a number of genes which code for proteins involved in methionine or cysteine biosynthesis in Gram-positive bacteria. The SAM riboswitch acts at the level of transcription termination control. The predicted structure consists of a complex stem-loop region followed by a single stem loop terminator region. Lineage: Bacteria; Pseudomonadati; Bacteroidota; Cytophagia; Cytophagales; Hymenobacteraceae. The record is from Rfam by way of RNAcentral.